This 777-nucleotide long non-coding RNA is filed under the name Sorghum bicolor (sorghum). RNAcentral describes it as "long non-coding RNA (SBIC_LNC000862)". Lineage: Eukaryota; Viridiplantae; Streptophyta; Magnoliopsida; Poales; Poaceae. The record is from RNAcentral.
GUCAUGCAGUUAAAGUUAAUAUUAUGUACUCUCCAUCUAUUGAUCUUAGCUACUUCUAUCCUCAGAAGUAUGCAACCACUUUCAUCCACCACAUUCACUAUGUGCUACUUCUAUUCCUGGAAGUACCACCCACAUAUACACGCUACACUCUAUGUUGUUUCUAUCAUGGAGACACGCACCUAUGCUGCUCCUACCCUAGGAGUACAUGUUCCUUCAUCACCCACACACAUUCCACAUGCACUUAGAAAAUGUUCUACUCCUACACUGGGAGAAGAGACCCAAAAAUAUUUAAUGUCUCAUUCUACUUAUCCAAUAAAGCUCCAGUUAUGCUAGUUGAUACUCCCUACUGUUGUCAUUGCAUUAAAAGGGAUGGCUGAUCUCUAAAAAAAGAAAACAAUAAAGAAAGAGGACAAAAGUCCCAAUUCAAAAGAAAAGAAAGACAACCAAAUCCUUGUCCUCAGUUUAGGAAGGUAUGUUAUCCCCAAGGAGCAAAUGUAGAAUUAGAUAUUCACCGUCAGUUAUCACCCCUCAUAACCCCUUUCAUUCUUAUCACUUCAUUUCACUUCACUCACAUGCACAUAUUACUUGAUUGUAUAGUUAGUUUCUCUUGAUCCAUGGUUUAACUAUGCGAUAUAUGCAAAUAGGUUUGAAUUGUCUUUCCCACCUAUGAGCUCCACAUAAGCCAAUUAGAAGUAGGGUGAGAGAGAGAAGGCAACUAUGUCUUAGUGAUACAAAUACCACAUAUUCUAAGAGCAGAGAGAAGGCAUACUCACUUGC